Molecule: non-coding RNA, 448 nt
Organism: Schizosaccharomyces pombe (fission yeast)
Lineage: Eukaryota; Fungi; Ascomycota; Schizosaccharomycetes; Schizosaccharomycetales; Schizosaccharomycetaceae
Source: the annotation of a GenBank genome assembly
ACCAGUUUUUAUUAAAUCGUAAAUAAACGUUGUUUUUUAUUUCGUUUUUUGUUAGGACUUCCUUUAAUUAAAACUACCUUAAAAAAAACAACUUCUUAGUAUGGAUAUCUCUUAAACUUGAAUUGUAGUAACGGUUGCUGUUAACUGAAAUGAAUAAAACGAUGAAACAACAUUUGAUAGCCAUUGUCCUUGGCCUUAUCGAAGCUUAUCUAGCUGCAAUUUACCAGUUAGAAAAGUCAAAAAUAGGCCUACAAAAUUGGCAAAUGCCGGUAACGAUUAUUUUUGCUUUGUUUCGCGAAAUCUUUAGUGAACGAAAAUCAAGGCUUAUAAUACAUUUUUAGAAAGUUGCACAUUUCACAUACAAAAUUUUUUAUUUAUUGCUAUCCUGGUAUCUAUAUAGUCGAUGAAUAUUUAUUAUUUUUAUUUUUUAAAUCAUUAAUUGUAUGGU